ACCUGCUCUGUCACCUCAGCCUGUUGUCAGAUUGACCGACUGGCUUGCAGGUCCUGGUGUGGCCAGCUGGUGCAUUUCUCACUGAUGCGCAUUAGAACUUGUGCAGGUGCUGGAUGUAUGUUUUGAUUGGUGUCUGAUUCGUCAGUCCCAUCAACUCUGAACCCGGUUACCUGUACAGGAGCGAUAGUGGCACCCGCCUCUACUCGACUCUGUGGUGAACCUUGCUGUUUAAGUAGUUUUAUGCUUGCAUGACUCUACAGUGCGUGGCUUGGGGAUCUGCUCUGGUUGAGUUGGUGCUGUUUUCUGAUGUUUCAGUCAGACACCCAUCUGACCCGUCUUGAAACACGGACCAAGGAGUCUAACAUGUGUGCGAGUCACUGGGUUGCAACACCCAAGGGCACAAUGAGAGUGAAAUCUGGCUUUUGUCAGCUGACAUGGGACCCCCUGGCUGUUUGCUGGGGGAGCACCAUGGUCCCAUCCAUACUGCAUUGUCAGUGGGAUGGAGAUAGAGCAUACAUGCUGGGACCCGAAAGAUGGUGAACUAUGCCUGAGCAGGAUGAAGCCAGAGGAAACUCUGGUGGAAGUCCAUAGCGAUUCUGAACGUGCAAAUCGAUCGUCG
RNAcentral lists this ribosomal RNA (619 nucleotides) under Spirinia parasitifera. RNAcentral describes it as "eukaryotic LSU rRNA". It matches the Rfam family "Eukaryotic large subunit ribosomal RNA", at positions 440 to 907 of the family's 3401-position model. The record is from RNAcentral. Lineage: Eukaryota; Metazoa; Nematoda; Chromadorea; Desmodorida; Desmodoridae.